AGAGUUUGAUCCUGGCUCAGGACGAACGCUGGCGGCGUGCUUAACACAUGCAAGUCGAACGGUGAAGUCCCUUCGGGGGCGGAUCAGUGGCGAACGGGUGAGUAACACGUGGGCAAUCUGCCCCUCACUGUGGGAUAACUCCGGGAAACCGGGGCUAAUACCGCAUAUGAAGCCUGGCGGCAUCGCCGGGUUUGGAAAGUUUUUCGGUGAGGGAUGAGCCCGCGGCCUAUCAGCUUGUUGGUGAGGUAAUGGCUCACCAAGGCGACGACGGGUAGCCGGCCUGAGAGGGCGACCGGCCACACUGGGACUGAGACACGGCCCAGACUCCUACGGGAGGCAGCAGUGGGGAAUAUUGGGCAAUGGGCGAAAGCCUGACCCAGCGACGCCGCGUGCGGGAUAGUAAGCUUCGGGUUGUAAACCGCUUU
RNAcentral lists this ribosomal RNA (425 nucleotides) under uncultured bacterium. Its description in RNAcentral is "bacterial SSU rRNA". It matches the Rfam family "Bacterial small subunit ribosomal RNA", at positions 8 to 436 of the family's 1533-position model. The record is from RNAcentral.